AUGGCAAAGUUAAUAAGGGCGCACGGUGGAUGCCUUGGCAUUAAGAGCCGAUGAAGGACGUGACUAACGACGAUAUUCUAGGGGGAGCAGUAAGUACGCAUUGAUCCCUAGGUCUCCGAAUGGGGAAACCCACUAUGUUAUGCAUAGUAUCCGUAAGUGAAUACAUAGCUUACGCGAAGGUAACGCAGAGAACUGAAACAUCUAAGUACCUGCAGGAAGAGAAAGUAAAAACGAUUUCCUAAGUAGCGGCGAGCGAACGGGAAACAGGCCAAACCAAGAAGCUUGCUUCUUGGGGUUGUAGGACUGCAACGUGGACUUAAAGUCUAUAGAAGAAUUACCUGGGAAGGUAAGCCAAAGAGAGUAAUAGCCUCGUAUUUGAAAUAGACUUUAUACCUAGCAGUAUCCUGAGUAGGGCUGGACACGCGAAAUCCAGUUUGAAUCCGGGAGGACCAUCUCCCAAGCCUAAAUACUCCUUAAUGACCGAUAGUGAACCAGUACCGUGAGGGAAAGGUGAAAAGAACCCCGGGAGGGGAGUGAAAUAGCACCUGAAACCGUGUGCCUACAAGAAGUUCGAGCCCGUCAAUGGGUGAGAGCGUGCCUUUUGUAGAAUGAACCGGCGAGUUACGUUAUGAUGCGAGGUUAAGCUGAAGAGGCGGAGCCGUAGCGAAAGCGAGUCUGAAUAGGGCGCUUUAGUAUCAUGAUGUAGACCCGAAACCUAGUGACCUAUCCAUGAGCAGGUUGAAGGUGCGGUAAGACGCACUGGAGGACCGAACCAGGACACGUUGAAAAGUGUUUGGAUGACUUGUGGAUAGCGGAGAAAUUCCAAACGAACUGGGAGAUAGCUGGUUCUCUCCGAAAUAGCUUUAGGGCUAGCGUCGCAAUUUAAGUGUAUUGGAGGUAGAGCACUGUUUGGAUGAGGGGCCCAUCUCGGGUUACCAAUUUCAGAUAAACUCCGAAUGCUAAUACACAUGUGCGGCAGUCAGACUGCGAGUGCUAAGAUCCGUAGUCGAAAGGGAAACAGCCCAGACCACCAGCUAAGGUCCCAAAAUAUAUGUUAAGUGGAAAAGGAUGUGGGGUUGCACAGACAACUAGGAUGUUAGCUCAGAAGCAGCUAUCAUUCAAAGAGUGCGUAAUAGCUCACUAGUCGAGUGACCCUGCGCCGAAAAUGUACCGGGGCUAAACAUAUUACCGAAGCUGUGGAUUUAAUAUUAAUUAAAUGGUAGGAGAGCGUUGUAAUCAGCGAUGAAGGUAUACCGUGAGGGGUGCUGGAGCGAUUACAAGUGAGAAUGCCGGUAUGAGUAGCGCAAGAUAAGUGAGAAUCUUAUCCACCGUAAGACUAAGGUUUCCAGGGGAAGGCUCGUCCGCCCUGGGUUAGUCGGGACCUAAGGCGAGGCCGAAAGGCGUAGUCGAUGGACAACAGGUUGAUAUUCCUGUACUAGUAUUGUUAGUGAUGGAGGGACGCAGUAGGCUAAAGGGAGCCAGUUAAUGGAUUCUGGUCUAAGCAGUGAGGUGUGGAAUGUGUCAAAUGCAUUUUCCUUUAACAUUGAGCUGUGAUGGGGAAGCAACUACGGUUGCGAAGCCCUUGAUGUCACACUGCCAAGAAAAUCUUCUAGCGUUUAAUUCAAUACUACCCGUACCGCAAACCGACACAGGUAGUCGAGGCGAGUAGCCUCAGGUGAUCGAGAGAACUCUCGUUAAGGAACUCGGCAAAAUGACCCCGUAACUUCGGGAGAAGGGGUGCUGUAGAAAUACAGCCGCAGUGAAAAGAUCCAAGCAACUGUUUAUCAAAAACACAGCUCUCUGCUAAACCGCAAGGUGAUGUAUAGGGGGUGACGCCUGCCCGGUGCUGGAAGGUUAAGAGGAGGGGUUAGCUUAGGCGAAGCUCUGAAUUGAAGCCCCAGUAAACGGCGGCCGUAACUAUAACGGUCCUAAGGUAGCGAAAUUCCUUGUCGGGUAAGUUCCGACCCGCACGAAAGGCGUAAUGAUUUGGAUACUGUCUCAACGAGAGACUCGGUGAAAUUUUAGUACCUGUGAAGAUGCAGGUUACCCGCGACAGGACGGAAAGACCCCAUGGAGCUUUACUGCAGAUUGAUAUUGAGUACCUGUGAAGCAUGUACAGGAUAGGUAGGAGACUUUGACCUUGGGACGCUAGUUUCAAGUGAGUCGCUGUUGGGAUACUACCCUUGCUUCAUGGUUGCUCUAACCCACACGCAUAAUCGGCGUGGGAGACAGUGUCUGUCGGGCAGUUUGACUGGGGCGGUCGCCUCCUAAAGAGUAACGGAGGCGCCCAAAGGUUCCCUCAACAUGGUUGGAAAUCAUGUGUAGAGUGUAAAGGUAUAAGGGAGCUUGACUGCGAGAGCUACAACUCGAGCAGGUAGGAAACUAGGGCUUAGUGAUCCGGUGGUACCGCAUGGAAGGGCCAUCGCUCAACGGAUAAAAGCUACCCUGGGGAUAACAGGCUUAUCUCCCCCAAGAGUUCACAUCGACGGGGAGGUUUGGCACCUCGAUGUCGGCUCGUCGCAUCCUGGGGCUGUAGUCGGUCCCAAGGGUUGGGCUGUUCGCCCAUUAAAGCGGCACGCGAGCUGGGUUCAGAACGUCGUGAGACAGUUCGGUCCCUAUCCGUCGCGGGCGUAGGAAAUUUGAGAGGAUCUGCCCUUAGUACGAGAGGACCGGGGUGGACUUACCGCUGGUGUACCAGUUGUUCCGCCAGGAGCACCGCUGGGUAGCUAUGUAGGGAAGGGAUAAGCGCUGAAAGCAUCUAAGUGCGAAGCCCACCUCAAGAUGAGAUUUCCCAUUCUUUAUGAAUUAAGAGCCCUGAGAGAUGAUCAGGUUGAUAGGCUGGAAGUGGAAGUCCUGCGAGGGAUGGAGCGGACCAGUACUAAUAGCUCGAGGACUUUACCAAG
This 2903-nucleotide ribosomal RNA is filed under the name Lactococcus garvieae. RNAcentral's name for it is "23S ribosomal RNA". It matches the Rfam family "Bacterial large subunit ribosomal RNA". The record is from RNAcentral. Lineage: Bacteria; Bacillati; Bacillota; Bacilli; Lactobacillales; Streptococcaceae.